This 72-nucleotide transfer RNA is filed under the name Camelus ferus (Wild Bactrian camel). It matches the Rfam family "tRNA". Rfam says of the family: Transfer RNA (tRNA) molecules are approximately 80 nucleotides in length. Their secondary structure includes four short double-helical elements and three loops (D, anti-codon, and T loops). Further hydrogen bonds mediate the characteristic L-shaped molecular structure. tRNAs have two regions of fundamental functional importance: the anti-codon, which is responsible for specific mRNA codon recognition, and the 3' end, to which the tRNAs corresponding amino acid is attached (by aminoacyl-tRNA synthetases). tRNAs cope with the degeneracy of the genetic code in two manners: having more than one tRNA (with a specific anti-codon) for a particular amino acid; and 'wobble' base-pairing, i.e. permitting non-standard base-pairing at the 3rd anti-codon position. The record is from Rfam by way of RNAcentral. Lineage: Eukaryota; Metazoa; Chordata; Mammalia; Artiodactyla; Camelidae.
GAAGGUAUAGCUCAGUGGUAGAGUGGGUGCUUAACAUGUACGAGGUCCUGGGUUCAAUCCCCAGUACCUCCA